GACGAACGCUGGCGGCGUGCUUAACACAUGCAAGUCGAACGGAAAGGCCCUGCUUUUGUGGGGUGCUCGAGUGGCGAACGGGUGAGUAACACGUGAGUAACCUGCCCUUGACUUUGGGAUAACUUCAGGAAACUGGGGCUACUACCGGAUAGGAUCUCCUGCUGCAUGGUGGGGGUUGGAAAGUUUCGGCGGUUGGGGAUGGACUCGCGGCUUAUCAGCUUGUUGGUGGGGUAGUGGCUUACCAAGGCUUUGACGGGUAGCCGGCCUGAGAGGGUGACCGGCCACAUUGGGACUGAGAUACGGCCCAGACUCCUACGGGAGGCAGCAGUGGGGAAUAUUGCACAAUGGGCGGAAGCCUGAUGAAGCAACGCCGCGUGCGGGAUGACGGCCUUCGGGUUGUAAACCGCUUUCGCCUGUGACGAAGCGUGAGUGACGGUAAUGGGUAAAGAAGCACCGGCUAACUACGUG
This 468-nucleotide ribosomal RNA is filed under the name uncultured bacterium. RNAcentral's name for it is "partial 16S ribosomal RNA". It matches the Rfam family "Bacterial small subunit ribosomal RNA", at positions 28 to 507 of the family's 1533-position model. The record is from RNAcentral.